GCCCUUAGAGUUUGAUCCUGGCUCAGGAUGAACGCUGGCGGUAUGCUUUACACAUGCGAGUCGUACGAGAGUUUUUAACUCAAGUGGCGGACGGGUGAGUAACACGUAAGAAUUUGCCUUUAGGAGGGGGAUAACAACUGGAAACGGUUGCUAAUACCCCAUAUGCUUUCGAGUAAAAUGGAUUUUCCGCCUAAAGAGAAGCUUGCGGCUGAUUAGCUUGUUGGUGAGGUAAUGGCUCACCAAGGCGACGAUCAGUAUCUGGUUUGAGAGGACGAUCAGACACACUGGAACUGAGACACGGUCCAGACUCCUACGGGAGGCAGCAGUGGGGAAUUUUCCGCAAUGGGCGAAAGCCUGACGGAGCAAUACCGCGUGAGGGAUGACGGCCUAUGGGUUGUAAACCUCUUUUUUCAGGGAGGAAUCAAUGACGUGUACCUGAGGAAUAAGCAUCGGCUAACUCCGUGCCAGCAGCCGCGGUAAGACGGAGGAUGCAAGUGUUAUCCGGAAUCACUGGGCGUAAAGCGUCUGUAGGUGGUCAAAUAAGUCAACUGUUAAAUCUUGAGGCUCAACCUCAAAAUCGCAGUCGAAACUAUUCGACUAGAGUAUAGUAGGGGUAAAGGGAAUUUCCAGUGGAGCGGUGAAAUGCGUAGAGAUUGGAAAGAACACCGAUGGCGAAGGCACUUUACUGGGCUAUUACUAACACUGAGAGACGAAAGCUAGGGUAGCAAAUGGGAUUAGAUACCCCAGUAGUCCUAGCCGUAAACAAUGGAUACUAGAUGUUGAACAGAUCGACCUGUGCAGUAUCAAAGCUAACGCGUUAAGUAUCCCGCCUGGGAAGUAUGCUCGCAAGAGUGAAACUCAAAUGAAUUGACGGGGAAGGGC
RNAcentral lists this ribosomal RNA (882 nucleotides) under uncultured bacterium. RNAcentral's name for it is "bacterial SSU rRNA". It matches the Rfam family "Bacterial small subunit ribosomal RNA", at positions 1 to 924 of the family's 1533-position model. The record is from RNAcentral.